Anguilla anguilla (European eel) is the source of this 1796-nucleotide RNA transcript. It is a transcript of the gene named ubiquitin thioesterase OTUB1-like, with no coding region annotated. NCBI's taxonomy places the organism in Eukaryota, Metazoa, Chordata, Actinopteri, Anguilliformes, Anguillidae. The transcript has 8 exons. The record is from RefSeq and is a predicted model, not a curated record.
GUGUUCUAAGGUUCGGAGGACAGUCUCAACGUAUUUAACGUAUUUUAAUACGUAAUACUUAACGUUAGUACGCGGACCUAGCCGAAAGAUUCUGUCCAGAAUCAUUCAAAAUUUUUGAAAAAUUAGUCAAAUCUGUGCUUGACCCGGAAGCUUUCAUAAAUGUAGUAGUACAGUUGGGUUGGGGAACGGGGAAGAGAGUAAGAUGGCGGAGGAGAAACAGCAGGAAAUAACACAGCGAGAUAUGGAGGGGGUGAACUGCCUCGCAUACGAUGAGGCUAUCUUGGCACAGCAGGACAGGAUCCAGCAGGAGAUAGCCACCUCCAAUCCCUUAGUGUCAGUCAGGCAGGACAUUUCUAUACUGAAGAGAGAGUAUGCACAAGAUGAUACUGUAUAUCAGCAAAAAAUAAAGGACCUGCAGAAAAAAUACUCGUAUAUCCGUAAGACAAGGCCAGAUGGGAACUGUUUCUAUAGGGCCUUCGGCUUCUCACAUCUGGAGUCAUUGCUGGAUGACAGCAAGGAGCUGCAGAGGUUCAAAGCAGUGGCUGCUAAAAGCAAACUUGAUCUGGUGAACCAGGGCUUUACCGAGUUCACCAUCGAAGACUUCCACAACACAUUCAUGGACCUGAUAGAGCUGUGUGAGAAGCAGCCGACUCUGGCCGAGCUGCUGGGCUGCUUUAACGAGCAGAGCAUGUCGGACUACGUGGUGGUGUACCUGCGGCUGCUGACGUCCGGCUACCUGCAGCGCCAGCACGCCUUCUUCCAGCACUUCAUCGAGGGCGGCCGCUCCGUCAAGGAGUUCUGCCAGCAGGUGAGCUUUAGCAGGCCGCUCCGUCAAGGAGUUCUGCCAGCAGGUGAGCUUUAGCAGGCCGCUCCGUCAAGGAGUUCUGCAGCAGGUCAGCUUUAGCAGGGCGCUCCGUCAAGGAGUUCUGCAGCAGGUCAGCUUUAGCAGGCCACUCCGUCAAGGAGUUCUGCCAGCAGGUGAGCUUUAGCAGGCCGCUCCGUCAAGGAGUUCUGCAGCAGGUCAGCUUUAGCAGGCCGCUCCGUCAAGGAGUUCUGCCAGCAGGUGAGCUUUAGCAGGCCACUCCGUCAAGGAGUUCUGCCAGCAGGUGAGCUUUAGCAGGGCGCUCCGUCAAGGAGUUCUGCCAGCAGGUGAGCUUUAGCAGGGCGCUCCGUCAAGGAGUUCUGCCUGCAGGUGAGCUUUAGCAGGGCGCUCCGUCAAGGAGUUCUGCCAGCAGGUGAGCUUUAGCAGGGCGCUCCGUCAAGGAGUUCUGCCAGCAGGUGAGCUUUAGCAGGGCGCUCCGUCAAGGAGUUCUGCCAGCAGGUGAGCUUUAGCAGGCCACUCCGUCAAGGAGUUCUGCCAGCAGGUGAGCUUUAGCAGGCCGCUCCGUCAAGGAGUUCUGCAGCAGGUGAGCUUUAGCAGGGCGCUCCGUCAAGGAGUUCUGCCAGCAGGUGAGCUUUAGCAGGGCGCUCCGUCAAGGAGUUCUGCCUGCAGGUGAGCUUUAGCAGGCCGCUCCGUCAAGGAGUUCUGCAGCAGGUCAGCUUUAGCAGGGCGCUCCGUCAAGGAGUUCUGCCAGCAGGUGAGCUUUAGCAGGCCACUCCGUCAAGGAGCUCUGCCAGCAGGUGAGCUUUAGCAGGCCGCUCCGUCAAGGAGUUCUGCCAGCAGGAGGUGGAGCCCAUGUCCAAGGAAAGCGACCACAUUCACAUCAUCGCCCUGGCCCAGGUCUUGAACACCUCCAUACUGGUGGAGUAUAUGGACCGGGGCGAAGGGGGUACGGUCAACCAUCACGUCUUUCCAG